RNAcentral lists this long non-coding RNA (937 nucleotides) under Homo sapiens (human). RNAcentral's name for it is "HSALNT0075921". Lineage: Eukaryota; Metazoa; Chordata; Mammalia; Primates; Hominidae. The record is from RNAcentral.
CCCUUGCCCCAUGCUGCUCCCUGGUGGGCCAUAACUCGCUCUGCUUUUUCUCCGCUGUCCAUAUGUUGCGCUGUCUAGUCAGUCCCAACGAGAGAACCUCAGUUGCCGGUUUAGGAUUAACUUGCCGUUUUCUUUCUUCUCAGUGGGAGCCUCCAACUGCAGGUGUUUCUAGGCAGCCAUCUUGCCCCCGCCCCGCCUCGAGUGAUCCUGGGACUCCUUGAGAAGACAGCCCUGAAUUGAGCAAAUCCAUCUCCCUCUUCUUAGAUACCUGCCCAUGAGAAACUGCCCUGUCAUUAGUUGUCUCAAGUCCCAGCUUGCCUUCAGAAUACUGUGGAGCCGCCCACAUUGAAAGGAAGUGAAGCAAAAGAAAACUCUUCAGACUUGAAAGUCAAGAGUAAUGCAACAGUAUGAUGAUUCUGGGAUUAUUUUCAUAAGGAACUGGCUGACUGAGCAUCCUGGUUCCAGGCUUCACAUUGUAGCUUCUUUUGUCUGUCAGCUUGUUUGAAAGGGCUGUGGUGAAAUUUUUAAUAGUUGUUUUUAAAAUCUUGUUUAUAAUGACCUUGCAGAAACUGGAAACUUUUCUUUGUACCAGUUUUGUCCUUUUCUAUUUUGCAAAGAGCGCUUUCUGUAUUUCCAAUGGAACUUUUAAAUUUUAAAAAAAUACUAUAUUGACAAUUUUGGUAGGAAUGAAUACCUAGUUUUUGAUUCAAUGCUCAUCCAUUAUUUACUGAGGACUUGUCAAUCCACUUUGCUUGUAGUUAAGUGACAAUUGUGUUCAAUGGAGGCACAGAGUGGUGAGGCUGUGGUACUGGUUUACUUAUCAGAAAACAUGGUCUAUUAAUGCAAAGGAAGAUAUUGCUCAAAAAAGGAGGGUCUCUGAGAGAUGUGUAAGCUUGAGGCCAACUCCCUAAUUUGAAUCUUUGAAUGAUUUUUAAGG